CAGUCGCCGCGGUAAUACAGAGGGUGCGAGCGUUAAUCGGAUUUACUGGGCGUAAAGCGUGCGUAGGCGGCUUCUUAAGUCGGAUGUGAAAUCCCUGAGCUUAACUUAGGAAUUGCAUUCGAUACUGGGAAGCUUGAGUAUGGGAGAGGAUGGUAGAAUUCCAGGUGUAGCGGUGAAAUGCGUAGAGAUCUGGAGGAAUACCGAUGGCGAAGGCAGCCAUCUGGCCUAAUACUGACGCUGAGGUACGAAAGCAUGGGGAGCAAACAGGAUUAGAUACCCGGGUAGUCCCUGUCUCUUAUAA
Molecule: ribosomal RNA, 301 nt
Filed under: uncultured bacterium
Lineage: Bacteria
Description: partial 16S ribosomal RNA
Rfam family: Bacterial small subunit ribosomal RNA
Source: RNAcentral